Daphnia pulicaria is the source of this 841-nucleotide long non-coding RNA. RefSeq lists it as uncharacterized. The record is from RefSeq and is a predicted model, not a curated record. NCBI's taxonomy places the organism in Eukaryota, Metazoa, Arthropoda, Branchiopoda, Diplostraca, Daphniidae. The transcript is spliced from 5 exons.
GCUUUUGUUGUGUUUGGCUUUUGAUGAGUGUUACGAUUUUGGCGAGUUGUCUGUGGUUUUUGGGCUGUUUUCGUGAAGUGGAGGUCAUGUAAUAUGAUGGAUUUUUGUUGAGAAGAUGAAUUGGACUAGCAUGUUUCUUAUUUCCAUCUGUGUUUGUUUGCUCAGGGAUGAAUUAAAGCCGAGUAAGUUGUUGCUGCUCCAGGAGGUUAGGAUAUGGUCAGAGUUCUCAAGUUCAGGACAGCCAUGUCGACAAAAUGGGUCAGUGUGCAUAUCCAACUUGUUGAUGAAGGCAUUUAGCCUAUUGUGUCCUGAUCUGAGACGGUGUAAAGUGGUGUUGAUAAGUCUGUUCUGGUGGUGAAACCAGUCCACGACGCCAAGGCUUGUUUUGGAGGUUACGCUUGGUUUGCCACAGAGUUUUAGAUAAUUGAGAGUUGAUAUUGACCAUUUCUUUUUAUACAGGGAAAUGACCUCAUUGGGAGUGAGAAUAUUCUCGAUGGAAUUGAAGAGGGGUAUUUCGUCCAUAUUACUGGCCAGUUUGUCAGCCACUUCGUUUCCAGUGAUCCCGAUAUGGCUUGGGAUCCAAGUGAGGGGACAAACCCUUCAAGUGUCCGGAGUGUAAUUUGUUCUUCCGGACAAGCGGUCACCGACAAUCUCACCUCAAGAGUCACCGCAAAGCUGCCCAGACAAUCGGUAAACCCGGUGCGAUCCGUACAGUGUCUUCUGCCGCCAACAAGAGGAAAUUAAAAGCUAAGUCGAACAAACAGCGAGUGUCGAACGGAGAUAUAGAUUCUGAAGCUCAUCUGGCGAAAGUCAUCGCCGAUAUCUGGUGACCUGUCGAAUC